Non-coding RNA from Paramisgurnus dabryanus, 2519 nucleotides. NCBI's taxonomy places the organism in Eukaryota, Metazoa, Chordata, Actinopteri, Cypriniformes, Cobitidae. The record is from RefSeq and is a predicted model, not a curated record.
AAUAAACGCAAUAAAAAACAAUGUCAGUGACGUAAUAAAUAUGUGUAAAUUUACACGCAUCAUUUAUUAAGCAUUAUAAAAAAAUCCAGCAAUAUGAUUAAACUUUGGUUAUUUGUUAUUAUCCCUGCAUUCAAAUGGUUGCAGGUUGGAGCAGGAAGUUAACCCUUCUGUCGCGCAAGCGCGAGCAUAGACAGUGGUCGCGAGGCCAUUCGUACGUCACGUGAGCGCCAUUUUCAUGAUAUGACCGUUUUUCCUCAGGCACACUUCAACAUUUUCUUCGCAUUUAACAUCAUUAUUAACAUGUAAAUAAUAUAAUUCGUAAACAUAACGUUUAUGUUAAUUUAUAAUAUGUUUUUUUUAUUAUUGUUGGCUUUAAGUUAAUUUGUCUGUCAGACUCAGUUUGUUCGUGUUGUAGCCUGUUAACAGUAGACCAAAGGUAUGAUGAUCAAUUAUAAAUGCAAUAUGGUUGAAAGGUCAGUAAACAAACAACAAAAAGGUAAUUUCUUAAUAGAAUGUCUAUACAUUUUUUGCUUUUGUUACAUAUUUCAUACAUCAAAAUCAUUAAACGUUAAUAAUUAUGUAUUCCAACUUGUUGCAGCUUGACAAAAAUGUAGCUUGAAGGAGAAGGGACAGCUGAGUAACAAAGUCCUGGUACGCAGACGACGAUACUUUUACACUGACAAGAGUGUAAUGAUGAUGGAGACACAAGCCAGAGAAAGGGGGACCAAACACCAGGCCAGAAUUCUGCAUGAGUCAGAUCCAGUGGGUGCAGAUCAUCAUACAGAUGGUUCAAGUGUGGAUCCACCUAAUAUUCAAGGUAAAAGAGCAUUUGUUCACAGCAUUAUCUAAGAAAACAUAUCACUAGAUAUUACAUAUUAGAUGUUAAUGUCUGACUCUGAUCCAUACGAAACAGAUUUUCUGUCCUGGGACACUCGGCUAACCAUCAAGAAAGAACACAGUAGGUUAACAAGAAUCUGACCUCACGUUUGAUCAUUACAAAAUUAUGGCAGUACAUUACACAUUUAAGGACUGUUAUUCCUCUGGCUGAUUUAAAAAUACCCAAAAGUUCUUAAAAAGAAGCAGCCCUAGUUAUUUUGGCUUGUUAAACAUAAACUAUAUAGACAUAACUAUUGCGACACCUCCUUCUAAUAAACAGGUUUAAAUACUUUACUUAUUUCCAUGAGCACAAAUCUUAAUGCUACAGCAUAUGAUAUUCUAGAAAAACCGUUUGAUGCUAAAUUUAUAGCAAGAGUUUUGGCAGGGCCCUUUUCAAUACCAACUUAAGAAUGACCCUACAAACAAAGUAAGGUUCAAACAGAAAAUUAGUGAUUCAGUCUGGUGUGGAAGAACUUUGACUGGUCUGAAUAAACCCCAGACCUUAACUCAGCUAACACCUUUGAUAUGACUCAAAGGUUUUUAGCCAAAAACUCAUCACCUAAACCUAUCAAUGACUUGUACAAGAAGCUGUUGUCAUUUCGGAACAGAAAAAGGCACUUACAAAACUGUUGCAACAAAAAUCAAAAUUAUUUGUAGUGGUAUUAUAUGGUAUAGCAUUUUUAUUUGUUUUGAUUGGACAUACUGGAAUAAAUAAACAUGUUUAUUAGAAUGAGGCCUCCCAAUACUUUUGUCUAGUGUAUUUGCCACAGACAGGGUAACGCAAUCCUUAGAGUGUGCUUCUUUGUAAAUGUGACAAAUGAAAAUGACCUGAUCCAUCAUUUCCAGCUCCAGUGGGCAUCCUUUAUCCAUCCAGACCCUCAUACAGAUGGUUGGAGUUUUGAUUCACCUAAAGUACCAUGCAAGAGCACUCAUUUUCCCUCUUGAGACCAUGGUGUGACCUGCAAGGUCGAAUGGAGACUGUAAGCGAGACAAUCUUGGAGUCACCUGCAUUCACUGGUCCAGUUGUUAGUCCAAUUACAGAUGGAGAUUAUAGAAGAGGAUGAUGUCUUUUCUCCAACAUCUUUCUAGACUGAUAAAAGAUCUAGACAGGCUCGAACAAAAGUUAACAGAGGGGCUUAUAUAGAGAAGGGUGAGCAGCUACACAUAAAAGAAGAACAUGGAGAAUCUGCCCAGAGGUGUUAACCAGCAAUGCAGCUAUACAACUAAAUUGAUGCAGGCGGAAACAAUGUGUGUAUGUUAUGUCCAAAUGUUGUUAUGUUCAAAUGUUUUACAAUAUACUUAAACAGGUGGACCUGUCAAUAUUGCAUUAGUCAAGUACAACUGAGUAGGUUAAGUUUACAUAUCAACGUCAAUAAAUAUAUAAAAAUAAAUAUCAGUCUUGACAGCAAACAUAAUAAUGUUAAAUAAAAUAAUAAUUACAGCUUUUUAAGAAAUUUACACGGGCUCAAACUAUCAGUGAAAUUAACUAUCAAAAACCUAAAAUAACCACAGACACGUGAAUAAAAUAUCUAACGUGAACUAGCUAGUUACUGUACAUACAUUGCUAAUUAUCAACGAAAUUUCUAGUUAACUGAUCCCACACCCAGCAUUAUUAAAAUGUAUUAUUACUACAUACCUUAAAC